GAUGAGAACGUAGCGAAAUGCGAUAAGUAGUGUGAAUUGCAGAAUUCAGUGAAUCAUCGAAUCUUUGAACGCACAUUGCGCCCUUUGGUAUUCCUUAGGGCAUGCCUGUUCGAGCGUCAUUUAAACCUUCAAGCUAAGCUUGGUGUUGGGUGACUGUCCGCUUCACGGCGGACUCGCCUCAAAAUUAUUGGCGGCCGGUACAUUGGCUUCGAGCGCAGCAGAAACGCGAACUCGGGCCCGUCGUAUUGGCUCCCAGAAGCUAUCUUCACAAUUUUGACCUCGGAUCAGGUAGGGAUACCCGCUGAACUUAAGCAUAUCAAUAAGCGGAGGA
This 331-nucleotide unclassified non-coding RNA is filed under the name soil metagenome. RNAcentral's name for it is "partial contains 5.8S ribosomal RNA, internal transcribed spacer 2, and large subunit ribosomal RNA". The stretch from base 5 to 119 matches the Rfam family "5.8S ribosomal RNA", at positions 40 to 154 of the family's 154-position model. The record is from RNAcentral.